This 497-nucleotide ribosomal RNA is filed under the name uncultured bacterium. RNAcentral describes it as "partial 16S ribosomal RNA". It matches the Rfam family "Bacterial small subunit ribosomal RNA", at positions 28 to 507 of the family's 1533-position model. The record is from RNAcentral.
GAUGAACGCUGGCGGCGUGCCUAAUACAUGCAAGUCGAGCGAACGGACGAGAAGCUUGCUUCUCUGAUGUUAGCGGCGGACGGGUGAGUAAUACGUGGAUAACCUACCUAUAAGACUGGGAUAACUUCGGGAAACCGGAGCUAAUACCGGAUGAUAUUUUGAACCGCAUGGUUCAAAAGUGAAAGACGGUCUUGCUGUCACUUAUAGAUGGAUCCGCGCUGCAUUAGCUAGUUGGUAAGGUAACGGCUUACCAAGGCAACGAUGCAUAGCCGACCUGAGAGGGUGAUCGGCCACACUGGAACUGAGACACGGUCCAGACUCCUACGGGAGGCAGCAGUAGGGAAUCUUCCGCAAUGGGCGAAAGCCUGACGGAGCAACGCCGCGUGAGUGAUGAAGGUCUUCGGAUCGUAAAACUCUGUUAUUAGGGAAGAACAUAUGUGUAAGUAACUGUGCACAUCUUGACGGUACCUAAUCAGAAAGCCACGGCUAACUACGUG